GCGGGAGACUCCGCCCAGCGUCUUCCUUGCUUUAGGAAAAGUCCCAGGGAGAAGCCCCAUUGCGUCUGCGCAGUGAGCGCAACCUUCCCGGAGCUGGUCGCUGCGCCAGGAUGUUCCUGGUCUGGCCAGCCAGGUCUGAGCCACACGACCUCAGCCAGCAGCUGGGGUGUAGUCAGCCUGCUGGAGGAGAGAGUGGGAUCCCCACGCGAACCGAGAGUCUGGUACCAGAGGAACGAGGUCAGGCCGGAAAGGAGAACGACGCUGAGCCACGCCUCCGCCGCUCAGGGCUCCGCAGUACGAACACAUGGCCCUGGGUGCGCAUGCGUGGGUGCACCCGUGGGACGCACUUCCGGAAGUGGAGCUGGUGUCAAAGGACAGAUCUUUCCGUGUUCCUAGGAGUUCGUCACCUUCCUUCGGUAGAAGUCUUAAGAGGAAAAUAUGCUGCUCCUGCUCCUGCUCCUGCUGCAGCUCGCGGCUCUUGGCGUGUUCCUGAGGAGGUGCCAACCCAGUGGUGUCCCUACUUCUCCCUAGUGCUUCUGCACGCUUAGGCUCAUCCUGCAGUUAACACUUCAUAGCUGACUUGCACUGCAGGUGUACGUGGCAUCAGACCACAUCUGCCCCAGGUGAGAAAAUGCUAGGUUCUUUGUGGCUCUCAGCAUCUGUCUCUCCGCAGGCUCUGGGUGUUUCAUUUGCUCUGCGAUUUCCGUUCU
Molecule: long non-coding RNA, 710 nt
Filed under: Fukomys damarensis (Damara mole-rat)
Lineage: Eukaryota; Metazoa; Chordata; Mammalia; Rodentia; Bathyergidae
Description: lncRNA (ENSFDAG00000032348.1)
Source: RNAcentral